This 279-nucleotide ribosomal RNA is filed under the name uncultured bacterium. RNAcentral's name for it is "partial 16S ribosomal RNA". It matches the Rfam family "Bacterial small subunit ribosomal RNA", at positions 506 to 784 of the family's 1533-position model. The record is from RNAcentral.
UGCCAGCAGCCGCGGUAACACGUAAGGAGCGAGCGUUGUUCGGAAUUAUUGGGCGUAAAGGGCAUGUAGGCGGUUUUGUAAGUCUGAUGUGAAAUCGCGCAGCUUAACUGCAUUGUUGCGUUGGAAACUGCAGAACUUGAAUCCGGGAGGGGUGUGUGGAAUUCCUAGUGUAGGGGUGAAAUCUGUUGAUAUUAGGAAGAACACCAGAGGCGAAGGCGACACACUGGCUCUGGAUUGACGCUAAGGUGCGAAAGCGUAGGUAGCGAACAGGAUUAGAUA